Molecule: ribosomal RNA, 464 nt
Filed under: uncultured bacterium
Lineage: Bacteria
Description: SSU rRNA
Rfam family: Bacterial small subunit ribosomal RNA
Source: RNAcentral
AGGACUAACGCUGGCGGCGUGCCUAACACAUGCAAGUCGAACGAAGUAGCAAUACUUAGUGGCAGACGGGUGAGUAACACGUAGUCAACCUGCCCUUCAAUGGGGGAUAACUAGCCGAAAGGUUAGCUAAUACCGCAUACGAUCUCUGAGUGGCAUCACUCGGCGAUGAAAGGAGUAAUCCGUUGAAGGAGGGGACUGCGUCCCAUUAGUUAGUUGGUGGGGUAAUGGCCUACCAAGACUCCGAUGGGUAGCUGGCUUGAGAGAGCGACCAGCCACACUGGAACUGAGACACGGUCCAGACUCCUACGGGAGGCAGCAGUGAGGAAUUUUCCGCAAUGGGGGAAACCCUGACGGAGCGACGCCGCGUGUGGGAAGAGGCCUUGGGUCGUAAACCACUGUCGAGGGGGACGAGUAUUGACGGUACCCCUGGAGGAAGCCCCGGCUAACUACGUGCCAGCAGCCGC